AGUGGGCGCACUGUAUGCACGCUUUAAAGAGCGAAUAUCGAAAGAUCGCCGACUUUCAUUGAUCAUGGAUGGAUAAGGUGGCAGCCGCCAAUGCUGAAAAGAUUGCUACGGUCGAACAACUCCAAGCGACAAUUGAAUGAGAGAAGCUUCAGAAAGAAGUCUCCCGUAUGACAGUCGACCUUCAAUCCUUUAGAGUCGAGCUUGAGUCGGCUCAUCAGAAUAUCAUAUUUCUCGAGUCUCAGAUCAGGAGCAAGAAGCACUCCAUCAGUCAACUCUAAAGAGAGAGAGAAAUAGCUACAUUGAAGAGCCGAAAGCAGAGCACGGAAGGCAUUGGGCCACC
RNAcentral lists this long non-coding RNA (340 nucleotides) under Elaeis guineensis (African oil palm). RNAcentral describes it as "long non-coding RNA (EGUI_LNC031090)". Lineage: Eukaryota; Viridiplantae; Streptophyta; Magnoliopsida; Arecales; Arecaceae. The record is from RNAcentral.